RNAcentral lists this non-coding RNA (128 nucleotides) under Palpitomonas bilix. The record is from RNAcentral.
GUCUGCCUUUGCCAUUCUGGCCCUGCGACCCCGGCCUCUCUACGUUCCUGCGCGCGUACUCGCUCUCCUGCAACGGCCUUUUCGUCCGCUCGUGCUGUCGUUUCUGACGGACCCUGUGUACACUCGCC